Molecule: ribosomal RNA, 253 nt
Filed under: uncultured bacterium
Lineage: Bacteria
Description: partial 16S ribosomal RNA
Rfam family: Bacterial small subunit ribosomal RNA
Source: RNAcentral
UACAGAGGGUGCGAGCGUUAAUCGGAAUUACUGGGCGUAAAGCGUGUGUAGGUGGCUGCGAAAGUCGGAUGUGAAAGCCCUGGGCUCAACUCAGGAAGUGCACCCGAUACUGCGUAGCUCGAGUACCGGAGAGGUUGGUAGAAUUCUCGGUGUAGAGGUGAAAUUCGUAGAUAUCGAGAGGAAUACCUGUGGCGAAGGCGGCCAACUGGACGAGUACUGACACUGAGACACGAAAGCGUGGGGAGCAAACAGG